Helianthus annuus (common sunflower) is the source of this 374-nucleotide long non-coding RNA. RefSeq lists it as uncharacterized. Lineage: Eukaryota; Viridiplantae; Streptophyta; Magnoliopsida; Asterales; Asteraceae. The transcript has 3 exons. The record is from RefSeq and is a predicted model, not a curated record.
UGUAGAUCGAAAUUUUUAUUAGUAAUCUAUCUAUCCAUCUUACUGAUUGCUAAUGCAGCUAAAAGUUACUAUGAUAUACUUCAAGUUCCGAAAGGUGCAUUAGACGAUCAGAUUAAACGAUCAUAUAGAAAGCUUGCGUUGAAAUAUCAUCCUGAUAAGAAUCAAGGAAAUGAAGAUGCUAACAUAAAGUUUGCUGAAAUUAACAAUGCUUAAGAAGUGUUGUCGAACAGCGAAAAGCGGAGUAUUUACGACCGGUACGGUGAGGAAAAGCUUAAACAGCAUGCUGCUGGUGGCGGAGGGGGCGGAGGGAUGAAUAUUCAGGACAUUUUUAAGUCGUAAGAUUUCACUUUCAGACCUUAAUAAUAUAAGUUUAG